Long non-coding RNA from Egretta garzetta (little egret), 1156 nucleotides. RefSeq lists it as uncharacterized. NCBI's taxonomy places the organism in Eukaryota, Metazoa, Chordata, Aves, Pelecaniformes, Ardeidae. The record is from RefSeq and is a predicted model, not a curated record. The transcript is spliced from 2 exons.
AAUUGAAGCGUGGAGUGCAGGGAAGCGUUUGGGUGGCUAGAAGUCAUCUUUACAGAAUGCUGUGAAGGACAAAACCAGAAGUAUUUAUUUCCUAAAGAAAACUGUGUUAAGCAUCUUCUAAAAGAAAUCCUGCAAUGAGCUAGUGUAACAAAGCACAGGUAUCUCCUACUUCUGUCUCCCGCAUACAGGGUGGGCCUUGUGUGUGCUCUCACCGCAACAGAGACCACUCCAGAAGGGCAGCUCCAGCACAGAUGCCCUGGGAAAACCCAGUUCCCUGCCACCCCAGUACCUACACAUUCCCCAUCUCCUGAAACCUUCUCUGUGUCAGGUGCUCAGUUCUACCCAUUACUGGACUCGAUUCUGUUGCUGUGAAACAUCUGGGAGGAGCUGAGCAGGAGGAAAGAUGGGCUGCAACCUAACCUGGAGCUAGUAAGGGGAAGGGAGGAAAGCGGGUUCUCAGAGGGAGACGUUCUUAGGAGGUUAGGAGUUUCUAACUCCGAGGGUUAGAAACAUCAACCAAAUAAGUAACAUCUCCAGAAACCCCUGUCCUGGGUAAAAGGUGUAAUUAUCCAUCUCUCUCUGUUCCAGCCAUCUUAGCUCACCUUUGUUUUGGGAAAACAGUUUGGGCUUGAUCCUAACAGCUGACUAUCCAACACCACUGAAAAGCCCCGCUAGGAUCCUGCAGCAAGCAAGCAGGAGUUACUACUUCUGGCUGAACAGGUUGCUUGAAAAUUCAGGUUUUACAGUUGCAAAGUUUUACAAACAAUUUUACUGAUGCAGUGUUUGCAUAAUACAGUAAGUGUAAGUAAACAAAUACUUUUCCAUAAGUAAAACAUGAUUAACAUCAUUAGAGCUUAUGUACUGGGAUAGAUUGCACCUGAUUGCUGUAGGCAAGAUUCUUGCAAGCAAGAACUCCUCAUCGCUUGUAAACACGUGUUUUGGUACUCAGGUAUGCAUCUCCAGCCAAAACAGAAACUGUUAAGUUGUCUUGGAAGCUCUCAGUAAGAAAAAGUAAGCAGACCCCAUUCUAAUCAAUCAAACUACUGCCUUUUAAAAAGAUCAGAAUGCUAUCAGUCGCCUCAUAUUAAAUAAAUUUGAAACAAUCACCUUAAUUAGCCUUCAUUUCCAUAAUUACUGAUCUCAGAGAAUAGUUUUG